CUUAUUUCUUCUAUUUUUCAAUUAUUUCUUUAUUCUCUGAAUACUCAAAUAUUUGCCAGAGAUCUUUAAAUACUCAGGGCACUACCAUUUGAAAAACAACUUGAAUAUUUAUUAUGUGUGUGUGCAAACAAUACAAACCCAAGAAAACAUAAGGGGGAUUUGUUAACUAGAACACAUUGACAUUUAUCUUCUGAUGGAAAAAAAAAAAAGGCAAUCUAGCUGUGAAGGAAGAGAAUACAAAGGACAGGUAAAUGGGAAACUAAUUCCAAUCAUGUCAUAGUGUGUGACAUAUUGUGUUCAAUAAGUUUUGUAUUUUAUGUUUCUAACUGCUUUCCCAAAUUCACCCUCAUAAUGUGCUUUUAAGUUUUUAUUAACAUAACACAUUGUGCAAGCAUAGUAUUUAUUUUUGGUAAGAUGGCCAUUUUUACUGUUAGUCUUGCCAUGCCUUGGGCAUUAGAGGUCUUUCCAUCUUCUUAUAUCUUCUUCUAUUUCUUUCUUCAGAGACUGGAAGUUAUUUCACACAAAUCUUUGACUUGCUUCAUUUAAGUCACACCAAGGUACUUUAUGUCUUUGUGGAUAUUGUGAAGGGUGUUGUUUCCCUAAUUUCUUUCUCAGCCCAUUUGUCUUUUUUAUAUAGGAGUGCUACUGAUUUUUUAAGAGUUUCAUUUUUUACAUUAAUUACAGUUUAUUCACUUUGUAUACCAGCUGUAGUCCCCUCCCUCUACAGCUCCGAAUCCUCCCCUCCCUCCCUCAUCUCCUCCUAUGCACCUCUCCAGGUCCAUAGAUAGAGGAAGUUUUUUUUGUUGUUGUUGUUUUAUUUGUUUGUUUGUUUGUUUUUGAGUUAAUUUUGUAUCCAGCCACUUUGCUGAAGGUGUUUAUCAGCUAUAGGAGUUUCCUGGUAGAAUUUUGGGGUCACUCAGGUAUACUAUCAUAUCAUCUACAAAUAGUGAUACUUUGAUUUCUUUUUUUCCGAUCUGAAUCCCGUUGAUCUCUUUUAAUUCUCUUAUUGCUUUAGCUAGGACUUUAAGUACUAUGUUGAAGAGAUACAGAAAGAGUGGGCAGCCUUGUCUUGUUUCAGUUUCAAUUUCAGUGGGAUUGCUUUAAGUUUCUCUCCAUUGAGUUUGAUGUUGGCUAUAGGCUUGCUGUAUAUCACCUUUACACUGAUUAGGUAAGUGCCAUGUGUCCCUGAUCUCUUCAAGACUUUAAGCAUGAAUGGGUGUUGGAUUUUGUCCACUGCAUUUUCAGCAUCUAAGGAAAUUAUCAUGUGGGUUUUCUCCUUCAGUUUGUUUAUAUGAUGGAUUAUAUUGAUGGAUUUCUGGAUUUGAACCACCCCUGCCUACCUGAGAUGAGGCCUACUUGGUCAUAGUGGAUGAUAUCUUUGAUGUGUUCUUGGAUUCGGUUUGCAAGUGUUUAGUUGAAUAUUUUUGCAUCAAUGUAUAUAAGGGAUAUUGGCCUGAAAUACUCUUUCUUUUUCCGGUCUUUGUGAGGUUUAAGUAUCAAGGUGACUAUGGCUUCAUAGAAUGAGCUUGGUAAUGUUUCUUCUGUUUCUAUUUUUGUGGAAUAGUUUGAAAUAUAUUGGUGUUAGCUCUUCUUUGAAGGUCUGUUAGAAUUCUGCACUGAAACCAUCUGGCCCUGGGGGUUUUUUUGGAGGGGAGUCUUUUAAUGACAGCUUCUAAUUCCUUAGGGAAUGUAGGACUAUUUAAUUGAUUUACCUGGUCUGAUUCAGCUUUGAUAAAUGGAAUUGAUCAAGAAAAUAAUCCAUUUAAUUUACAUUUUCAAAUUUUGUGGAGUAUAGGUUUUUGAAGUAAUGAUCGUUUGGAUUUCCUCAGUGUCUGUUGUUAUUCCCUUUUUCAUUUCUGAUUUUGUUCAUUUGGAUAGUGUCUCUCUGCCUUUUCAUUAGUAUGACUAAGGGUUUGUCUAUCUUAUUGAUUUUCUCAAUGAACCAGCUCUUGGUUUCAUAGAUUCUUUGAAUUGUUUUAUUUGUUUCUAAUUUAUUGAUUUCAGUCCUGAGUUUGAUUAUUUCCACCUGUCUACUCAUUUUUGAAGAAUCUGCUUCUUUAUUUUUUUCUAGGGCUUUCAGGUGAGCUAUUAAAUUACUUGUAUGAGAUGCUUCGAUUUUUUUUCCUGAAGGCACUUAGUGCUAUGAACUUUCCUCUUAGCACUGCUUUCAUUGUGUUCCAUAAGUUUUGAUAUGUUUUGCCUUCAUUUUCAUUGAGUUCUAGGAAGUCUUUAAUUUCUUUCUUUAUUUCUUUCCAGACCCAGCUGUCACUGAGUAAUGAGUUGUUCAGUUUCCAUGUGAUUGUAGGCUUUUUGCCAUUUCUGUUGUUGUUGAGGUCCAGCUUUAGUCCAUGGUGUUCAGAUAGGAUACAAGGGACUAUUUCAAUCUUCUUGUAUCUGUUGAGGCUUGCUUUAUGACCAGCUAUAUGGUCUAUUUUGGAGAAGGGUCCAUGUGGUGCUGAGAAGAAGGUAAAUUCUUUUGUGUAUGGGUGAAAGGUUCUGUAGAUAUCUGUUAGGUCCAUUUGAUUCAUGACUUCUGUCAAAAUCAUUGUUUCUUUGUUUAAUUUCUGUUUUUUUUUUUACCUGUCCUUUGUUGAGAGUGAGGUGUUGAAGUCUCCCAAAUUAAUGUGUGGGGAUGUAUGUGUGGUUUAGUUUUAUUAAUGUUUCUUUUACAAAUGUAGGUGCUCUUGUAUUUGGGGCAUAGAUGUUCAGAAUUGUAAUGUGUUCUUGGUGGAAUUUUCCUUUGAUGAGUAUGAAAUGACUUUCCCCAUAUCUUUUGAUUAAUUUUGGUUGAAAAUCUAUUUUGAUAGUUAUUAGAAUGUUUAUUUCUGCUUGUUUCUCGGGUUUAUUUGCUUGGACAACCAACUUCCAGCCCUUUACUCUCAGGUAAUGUCUAUCUUUGUGACUUAGGUUUGUUUCUUGUAUGCAUCAGAUUGCUGGGUCUUAUUUAUUCAUCCAUUCUGUUAGUUUGUGUCUUUUUAUUCUUUUUAUUGGAGAGCUGAGUCCAUUGAUGUUGAGAGAGAUUAAUGGCUGGUGGCUGUUAAAUACUUUGAUUUUGCUGUUGGCUGUGUUGGUGUGUUUGUGUGCUUGGCUACUUUUAGCAAAGCUGUAGUGAAAUUAUUCAUUUCUUGUGUUUUCCUGACUGUAGCUAACUUUCCUGGGUUGUAUUUUUCUUUCUAUUAUCUUCUGUAACACUGGAUUUGUAGGUAGGUACUCUUUAAAUUUUCUUUUGUCAUUGAAUAUCUUAUUUUCUCCAUCUAUGACUAUCUUGCUGUGUAUAAUAGCCUGGGAUUUUUUUGUUUGUUUGUUUGUUUCUCCAUGAUAUCUGUCCAGGCCCUUCUGGCUUUCAUAGUCUCUGUUGAGAAGUCAGGUGUGAUUCUGAUGGGUUUGCCAUUAUAUGUUACUUGGCUUUUUUCCCUCGCAGCUUUUAGUGUUUUUUCUUUGUUCUGUGUACUUGCUGUUUUGAUUAUUAUGUGGUGGGAGAAUUUUCUUUUCUGGUCUAAUUUAUUAGGUCUUCUGUAGGCCUCUUGUAUUCUUAUAGGCUUCUCCUUUAUGUUGGGAAAAUUUUCUUCUAUGAUUUUGCUGAAAAUAUUUUCUGGGCCUUGGCAACAAGAAUCUUCUUUUUCUCAGUUCUUAUUAUUCUUAGGUUUUGUCUUUUUGUGUUGUCUUGGAUUAUUUAAACAGUUUGUGUCCAGAAUGUUUUAGAUUUAACAUCUUUGAUGGAUUCAUUGAUUUCUUCCAUUCUAUCUUCCACACCUGAGAUUCUUUCUUCCAUCUCUUGUAGUCUAUUGGUUAUGCUAACCUCUGUAGUUCCUGUUUUCUUCCCUAAGUUCUUCCUCUCCAUAGUUUCCUCCAUUUGUGUUUCUUUAAUUUUUCCAAUUCUAUGUUCAGAUCUUGAGCUGUUUUGUUGAUUUCCUUCACCUGUCUGAGUGCAUUUUCCUGUUUUUCCUUCAGUUCCUUCACCUGUUUGUUUGAACUCUGUUUCUUUUAUUUCUUUUAGUACUUAAUUAUUUCCUCUCUGAAGGCCACAAACUGUUUGGCUAUAUUUCCUUAAGGAUGACAAUAAUCUGUUUAACUUUAUCUUCUUACACAUUUUAUUUGUUUCCUCCAUUAAUCUCUUAAUAAGCAUAGAUGUAAGGUCAUCUCCUUAAAUUUCACUUAUGAAAGGUGUCCAGGGCUGCUUGCCUCCUGGGUUCUGGAGAUGCCAUAUGGCUUUGGCUUUUGUUGGUUGUGUUUUUACACUUGCUUCUACCCAUCUACUGGUUUCAGGUAUUGGCUGUUAGUUUCUGGUACCUGGAAUCCUUGCAUGGGGAGAAUCCCCUUGGCAGGAAGAUGGUGAUUCCUGAAGGAGGCCUCCUCAGCUUUUUGGGUAGAUCAGCUGAGUGCCCUGUGGUCGAAUCUUUUGUUUCCUUCACUGUGGGGUCUCCACCUGACAGAGACAACCAUCUCUGGUGCCCUGUAGCCCACAGUUACAUCUGGGAAGGUGAGUUGUCGCAUGGGAAGUCUGCCGGACCCCAGGAACUUUUCCAGGGAUUGUCCGGGUGAUCUGAAGUCAAUCCAAUUGCUUCCUUCACCAUGGGUUUUUUUUCUCUACUGGAAAUCCCAGUGUCUGAUGUUAUGGUGCCCACAGUUCACUCUGGGAGGGUGAACAGAGCAUGUAGACAUGUGGCUCUGGACUGGCAACUGAGCGCCUACCGGGAUUGGGGAACUCUUCUGUUCUGUCUCUUGGUCACAGUGUAGUCACUCACUGCUGUCCUGCUCAUCAGGCACAGUGUCCUCUUAGCGCUGCCAUCUUGGAUCAUCCCAUAGUAUUUAUUUUUAGUUAUUGUUUUAUGCAUUAAACAUUUUGGAACAGAAAAAGUAUUUAAUAUAAAAAGAUAAUGUUAACACUUUUUAUUCUUCCAUAAGUUUAUACUUAAUGAGGAUUUUUAUUUUUGAAUGUGUCAUUAAUUUAUUGUUUAAUUCCUUAAUCACUGAGUGUACGUAACAUAUCUUUUAUGGCAGAUAUAUUUAAAAGGACCGUUUUUUUUUCUUUUUAAAGAAAUUUUCUUUAACGAAUAUUCUUGAGAAUUUCAUACAGAUAUAAAAUGAGACAUAGUUAUAUUCAUCCCACAUUUCCUCUCCAUCUCUCCUGUAUCAACUCUCUCCCAAGUUCAUGCUCUCCUUCUGUUCUUCUUCUUCUUCUUCUUCUUCUUCUUCUUCUUCUUCUUCUUCUUUAAAUCCCAAUAGCCCACUAAUUCCAGGAGGUGCUCUGCAUAUUUGCUUGGGAAUAAUGGCAAGCACUGUAUCAUGGGAAACCUCUCAGCAGCCAUGCCUUCCAAAGAAAGAUUUCCUUUCUUCAGGGGUUUACAUUUGCUAAUAGAUGUUUAGUAUAAAGGAUGACAUGGAUAGCCUUCCUCCAUCACUGCUGGAAGUUGGAAUGGGCUGAUUUUAUACACAGCUGUGUAGAUAACCACAGCUGCAGUGAGUUCAUGAGGGAAAGAGCCUGCUCCUCUCCAGAAGGUUGCAGUUCACAGCUCUUUUUCUCACCCUCUUGCUCUUACAUGUUUUCUACCUCUUCUUGCACAUUGUUCCAUAAACCUUGAAAGAAAAAUAGGGCUGAUAAAGGUGUUAGAUUUAGUGCUGAAUACCCAGUCUCUUAUUUUCAGCAUUUUUACCAGUUACACCUCUCUGGAUAGAUUUUUAAUCUCUGAAAAAUGAAGCUUCUCUGACCUAAGUUUAUUACAGCUCAGGUUUAUGGGGAUAAACAUAAACAUUUAGAUAGCAGCUUGACAAUAUGAUCAUUUAGCAAAAUAACAUCAAUAAGUUGUAUCCUAGGGUCUAUGACUUCUCCGUCCUUGGGCCUGUUAAUACAAAUACAUUUCUGGGUAUGAAAUUCCCUGCUAUAGGCUUUGAAACCAACCAGAAAGUACUUUGGUACCUUGUGAUAGUCACAUUUUUAUUGCACCAGUGCAGACCCAGGAUGGUAACUUGAUCUGACCAGAGAUAAGGCCCUUAAGGAUCCAGAGUCAGAGUAGGGAUGAGAUCUGACACAGGGUGAGGUCCAAAGGUGGGGGGGGGUUA
This is a long non-coding RNA of Psammomys obesus (fat sand rat), 6060 nucleotides long. RefSeq lists it as uncharacterized. The transcript is spliced from 2 exons. NCBI's taxonomy places the organism in Eukaryota, Metazoa, Chordata, Mammalia, Rodentia, Muridae. The record is from RefSeq and is a predicted model, not a curated record.